CCUACGGGUGGCAGCAGUGAGGAAUAUUGGUCAAUGGGCGCGAGCCUGAACCAGCCAAGUAGCGUGAAGGAUGACUGCCCUACGGGUUGUAAACUUCUUUUAUAAAGGAAUAAAGUGAGGCACGUGUGCCUUUUUGUAUGUACUUUAUGAAUAAGGAACGGCUUACUCCGUGGCAGCAGCCGCGGUAAUUCGGAGGAGUCGAGCGGUAUCCGGGUUUGUUGGGUUUAAAGGGAGCGUAGAUGGGUUGUUAAGUCCGUUGUGAAAGUUUGCGGCUCAACCGCAAAAUUGCAAUUGAUACUGGUAGUCUUGAGUACAGUUGAGGUAGGCGGAAUGCGUGGUGUAGCGGUGAAAUGCUUAGAUAUCACGCAGAACUCCGAUUGCGAAGGCAGCUUACUAAACUGCCACUGACAUUGAUGCACGAAAGUGUGGGUAUCAAACAGGAUUAGAUACCCGAGUAGUC
RNAcentral lists this ribosomal RNA (460 nucleotides) under uncultured bacterium. Its description in RNAcentral is "partial 16S ribosomal RNA". It matches the Rfam family "Bacterial small subunit ribosomal RNA", at positions 338 to 795 of the family's 1533-position model. The record is from RNAcentral.